UACGAAGGGGGCUAGCGUUGUUCGGAAUUACUGGGCGUAAAGCGUGCGUAGACGGUUACAUAAGUCGGGUGUGAAAGCCCCGGGCUCAACCUGGGAAUUGCAUUCGAGACUGCGUAGCUAGGGUGCGGAAGAGGGAAGCGGAAUUUCCGGUGUAGCGGUGAAAUGCGUAGAUAUCGGAAGGAACACCAGUGGCGAAAGCGGCUUCCUGGUCCAGCACCGACGUUCAGGCACGAAAGCGUGGGGAGCAAACAGG
This 253-nucleotide ribosomal RNA is filed under the name uncultured bacterium. RNAcentral's name for it is "partial 16S ribosomal RNA". It matches the Rfam family "Bacterial small subunit ribosomal RNA", at positions 524 to 776 of the family's 1533-position model. The record is from RNAcentral.